This 74-nucleotide transfer RNA is filed under the name Bacillus phage BSP10. RNAcentral's name for it is "tRNA-Asn". It matches the Rfam family "tRNA". From Rfam's summary of the family: Transfer RNA (tRNA) molecules are approximately 80 nucleotides in length. Their secondary structure includes four short double-helical elements and three loops (D, anti-codon, and T loops). Further hydrogen bonds mediate the characteristic L-shaped molecular structure. tRNAs have two regions of fundamental functional importance: the anti-codon, which is responsible for specific mRNA codon recognition, and the 3' end, to which the tRNAs corresponding amino acid is attached (by aminoacyl-tRNA synthetases). tRNAs cope with the degeneracy of the genetic code in two manners: having more than one tRNA (with a specific anti-codon) for a particular amino acid; and 'wobble' base-pairing, i.e. permitting non-standard base-pairing at the 3rd anti-codon position. RNAcentral also lists the same sequence under 1 other name. The record is from RNAcentral. Lineage: Duplodnaviria; Heunggongvirae; Uroviricota; Caudoviricetes; Herelleviridae.
UUGUCCUAUAGCUCAAUGGUAGAGCGCCCGACUGUUAAUCGGAAGGUUGCUGGUUCGAGCCCAGCUGGGACAGU